CCUACGGGCGGCAGCAGUGAGGAAUAUUGGUCAAUGGGCGCGAGCCUGAACCAGCCAAGUAGCGUGAAGGAUGACUGCCCUACGGGUUGUAAACUUCUUUUAUAAAGGAAUAAAGUUAUGCACGUGUGCCUAUUUGCAUGUACUUUAUGAAUAAGCAUCGGCUAACUCCGUGCCAGCAGCCGCGGUAAUACGGAGGAUCCGAGCGUUAUCCGGAUUUAUUGGGUUUAAAGGGAGCGUAGAUGGUUUGUUAAGUCAGUUGUGAAAGUUUGCGGCUCAACCGUAAAAUUGCAAUUGAUACUGGAAGACGUGAGUACAGUUGAGGUAGGCGGAAUGCGUGGGGUAGCGGUGAAAUGCAUAGAUAUCACGAAGAACUCCGAGUGCGAAGGUAGAUUACUAAACGAGAACUGACAUUGAUGCACGAAAGCGUGGGGAUCAAACAGGAUGAGAUAACCCUGUAGUC
This 460-nucleotide ribosomal RNA is filed under the name uncultured bacterium. RNAcentral describes it as "partial 16S ribosomal RNA". It matches the Rfam family "Bacterial small subunit ribosomal RNA", at positions 338 to 795 of the family's 1533-position model. The record is from RNAcentral.